CUGCUGUCCGGUUCGUCGCGCUGACCCUGCCAACGCAACAAACGCCCAGACCUUCUCUGCACUAUGGAUGAGCAGUGUGGCCUGCUCUCGUUCUGCCCUUCCCUGGAAAUGCGCGCAAGAAGGGAGGUGGCAAAAAUCAUGUCCACCGGGGGGGCUCAGAGGCAGAGUCUUGCUUUGUUGUCCAGGCUGGUCUUGAACUUCUGAGCUCAAGUGAUCCUCCCGCCUUGGCCUCCCAAAGUGCUGAGACUACAGAGAGAGAAUGCUAACGAGCUGUGAAAUGACCAAAGAUCUGGCAGCAGAAGGGAAAAGAAAAAAUAAUGGGAAGAAGAGGAUUUAUCUGACUCAACUGGAGAUGGCUCCCUUCCCUUAUUUAUUGUUGCAUCCUGAAGCUUCCCCCAUGCUGGGCUCAGUGUGAACAAACAGCGCGGGAGAAUGCAACCACUGCAGAGGCAUAUGUUUGAGAUACCUGGCCACUGGAGGUCAUCUCGUCUACUAUAUUCACCGCAGAUAAAGAAUGAAAAGAGAAUACACAACCUUGUGAUUGCUAGCAGUGAAAGCUCAGAGUUAUGACAUAACAAGUGGUUGAUCAUACUGUAAAACUCAAAUGUGAAGGGAAGGCUGGAACCUACUGGAAACUGAAGAUCUAACGAAAAGAAGGAACUUUUAGGAACUAGCAGAGACUUCAAAAUGUUGAGAACUCUCUUUUUUCAUAAGAGAAGAUAAAAACUCUGAUGGUCACACUCAUAAAGACAAAAAACAAAUAAAAAACAAACAAAAACUCAGAAUCACAAGAGCAAAGAAAAUGUAGGUAAAACAAUAACAGAAGAGGUAAAGAAAUUUAUGUGAAUUGGGACACUCUGGGGCACAGAACAGAAGAGGAGAAGAAACAUGAAAGUAAUGCUCUGCACAAGGAUGUCUGACUGUCCUUGAUUCCAAGGGCAUUUAAAAUUAGCCACUGGAUGAGAACCAUGAAAUGCCAUGACUCUUACAGCUCCCAUGAAAGACAUUGGAUGGAACUUAUCCUAACUGGACCAAAUUCUAAAAAAUUUUACAUGAUAUUAUAAUGAGUUGAAAGUUGAAAAAAAAAAGCUCUUCUAGAUUACCAAGAAUAAAACACAAAUUUCUAGCUGACUGAAUUAAUUCUCAUCUCUCUAUAGAAAGAUCAUAGAAAUUUUUUUUAUCAUGCAAAGAAAUAGCUAAAAAUUUACAAAAAUAUAGACGUGCAUUAGGCAGCUCAUGAAUAAAUGCGUUUUUUCCUUUUUUCCUCCAGAAUUUUGUGAUGUUUAUGGUACUUUUCGGCUUUUAAAAUUUUGUAUUUAAUCAGGAUUUAUUACUUCAUUGUAAGUAAAUAUUAAAUUUGUACUCCAUCUUUGUUUGUAAUUUUGUAUAUUUUUCAGUAAAAAGGACUCCCCAGAUUAUGUAAGCUUUAGGCCCCACAAAAUCUAGGCCUGUUGCUGUAUCCUUUCUAGAGCAGUGUUUCUCAAACUUCAAUGUGCAUUUGAAUCUCCUGGGGCUCCUGUUAAAAUAUAGCUUCUGAGAUGAUGCAUUUCUAACAGACUCCCAGGGCUGACACUGCCCAUCUGGGGACCACACUUUGAGAAUCAAAUAUCUAGAACAAUGGUUCUUACCUGGCUGUGCAUUGGGAUCAUUUAUAGUGCUUUUGGAAAAUACAUUGUGUCCAGGUCCCACCCAGUUCUCAGUAGGCUUGGAAUGGGGUCCUACACUUUUUUUUUUUAACUCCACAGUUUGGGAAAGAAGCCUUUUCAUAUAUUGUUGGUGGGAAUACAAAUUGAUACAGCCAUUUUUGAGCUUGAUUUGGCAAUAUCUUCCUUGGAGAAAUCAAAAGCCAGUUGGCAAGCCAGUCUGGAAAAGGCAGUUUACUGAUUCCCACCCGAGGGUCACAAAGCAGGUAUAGAAGGAUGGGCUUUGGCUGAAAUAUAUGAUGGGUACAGGUAUAUUCUCUAUAAUCCAGUAUUUCCACUGCUGAAAACGUAUCCUAGUAACAUUAUACAUAUCAAGCCUACAUAUAAAGUUGGUCAAUUCCAUAUUAUUUGUAGUAGGGGAAAACUGAAAGCAGUCUACAUGCCCAUCAAUAGAUUAUUCAAAUUAUGGAACAGUUUUCCAAUGACAAAACAAUAGCUAAUCUUAGUUAAGCAAUUAUUAUGUUAUGUAAGGUAGACAUUGUUCUACCUUAUUUAUAAGUAUUAAGUUAGUUUUUAUAACUAUCAUAUUUCCAUUUUACAAAUGACAUAAUUUAUAUUAUUGACAUGGGAAGAUGUCCAAGGAUAUAAUAAGCAAAAAGCAAGUAGCAAAACAUUAUGUAUAUUAUGCAUUACCAUUAUAAUAUACUAAAAAGUAAUGCACUUGAUUCUGAUGCACACUCCCCAGUAGGUAACAACUUAUCUAGUGUAAAAAUGAAAGAACAUUCUGGGCCGGGCACGGUGGCUCAUGCCUGUAAUCCCAGCACUUUGGGAGGCCCAGGUGGGCGGAUCACAAGGUCAGGAGAUCGAGACCAUCCUGGCUAACAUGGUGAAACCCCGUCUCUACUAAAAAUACAAAAAAAAAAUUAGCUGGGCGUGGUGGCCGGCGCCUGUAGUCGCAGCUACUCGGGAGGCUGAGGCA
Molecule: long non-coding RNA, 2622 nt
Organism: Homo sapiens (human)
Lineage: Eukaryota; Metazoa; Chordata; Mammalia; Primates; Hominidae
Gene: MAP4K3-DT
Product: MAP4K3 divergent transcript
Source: Ensembl